Long non-coding RNA from Amblyraja radiata (thorny skate), 147 nucleotides. RefSeq lists it as uncharacterized. The record is from RefSeq and is a predicted model, not a curated record. The transcript is spliced from 3 exons. NCBI's taxonomy places the organism in Eukaryota, Metazoa, Chordata, Chondrichthyes, Rajiformes, Rajidae.
ACUUCAUUCCUUCGUGUCAACUUCGGGAAGCUCCGCAACGACCGUUACGGACACAUUUUACUUACAAAGAAAAUCAGCCCAAAUCAAACGAUCUGACGAAUCAUCGGCCAUCGAUAGCUCAAAUCCAUAAGGAAGCUAUGCAAUGAC